Paramuricea clavata is the source of this 742-nucleotide non-coding RNA. Lineage: Eukaryota; Metazoa; Cnidaria; Anthozoa; Malacalcyonacea; Plexauridae. The record is from the annotation of a GenBank genome assembly.
AGCAUUACGACAUGACGUAACAAUGAAUUAUUAUAUAUAGAGGUCAUAUAUAAGACUCGUCAUCGAAAAUUUCCGCUUUCUACAGCAACAAUAUAUUCAACACAGGAAAUGUUACCAUAUCAAUUCAGGAAGAUACUGUGUUCAUGUCGCUCAAUUUAGAAGAUUACUUGUAUAGUUCUUUAUACAGGAAGACCUGGAUUCCAGCAUUGACCGGGGGGGGGGGAGUCCGGAGAGGGUCCUUAGAUGGGUUUAGGUGGUGAGACGUAUAAGCUCGUAACAUUGGCAAGAUAUACUAGAAGUUACUAUCGCAAGGAAAGUGCUGCCAUCCAUGAUGUUAAAAGCUUUUGCAAAAUAUCUCGACCAAACUAAAAGUAAAAUUUAGUGAACUCCUGCAUGAAAGUAAAAAUUUAAAAAUUGGCCUCAGAAGGUCAAUUUUGGCUGUAAGAAACAUAUCAUUGUCCGUGUAGUUCUCAUAAGAAAAUCACGCAAAUCUACAGCGAAUAUAAACAUUGCGAAAGCAUACUGAGAAAUUUCUAAUACGGCAGUGCAUCCGGCUAGCACCCGUCUGAGCCAGGUUUGAAGCCACUUGGGAAGGGGGGAAACACGGGAGAUUUUUCAAUAGUCUAUAUACGAAUUAAUUUCCAUGAUUUUAGCAAAAGAUUAAUCCUUUUUGAUAAAUCAUAAUUCAGUGUAAACAUCGUCCAGUCUUUGUUUUGGCUUGGUUGCAUAGGAAUGGAAUCCC